UGUCGGUGGGGCAGAAUGUGCCCCCUGCAAAAUAUCCGUAACCGACGCUUAUUGAUUGCGUCGGUUAUUUUUUUGU
RNAcentral lists this small RNA (76 nucleotides) under Erwinia mallotivora. Its description in RNAcentral is "Enterobacterial sRNA STnc240". It matches the Rfam family "Enterobacterial sRNA STnc240". The record is from Rfam by way of RNAcentral. Lineage: Bacteria; Pseudomonadati; Pseudomonadota; Gammaproteobacteria; Enterobacterales; Erwiniaceae.